AUGUCUCCAUCCUUCUCUACACAACCAGAACCAACUAUUUAUUAUAAAUUAUCGGCAAAAUAUCAAGAUCAAUAUGAAUACCUUCAAAAUUUUUCAUCUAAAUCACGUGAGGGACUAGCAAAGAGGAUCGUGCAUGAAGUUCAUGAAUUGUUUGAUUUCAAUCAAGUGUUUGAUUCUCAUCAUGCUAGUGGAGUUGGAGAAUGUGUUUCUCAUUGCUUCACUUUGCAUCUUAGAAUUGUCGUGGAGAAAUAA
Non-coding RNA from Vicia faba (fava bean), 252 nucleotides. The record is from the annotation of a GenBank genome assembly. NCBI's taxonomy places the organism in Eukaryota, Viridiplantae, Streptophyta, Magnoliopsida, Fabales, Fabaceae.